This 403-nucleotide ribosomal RNA is filed under the name Microsporidia sp. RNAcentral's name for it is "SSU rRNA". It matches the Rfam family "Eukaryotic small subunit ribosomal RNA", at positions 1341 to 1791 of the family's 1831-position model. The record is from RNAcentral. Lineage: Eukaryota; Fungi; Microsporidia.
CCUUAACCUGCUAAAUAGGGGGGUGAGCGUGAGCUUGCUGCUUCUUCUUAGAGGGACUAGCUAGGUUUUACUAGCUGGAAGUUUGAGGCAAUAACAGGUCUGUGAUGCCCUUAGAUGUUCUGGGCCGCACGCGCGCUACACUGGCAGAGGCAGCGAGUGACCUGACCCGAAAGGGCUGGGUAAUCUUGUGAAACUCUGCCGUGAUGGGGAUAGACCAUUGUAAUUAUUGGUCUUUAACGAGGAAUUCCUAGUAAGCGCGAGUCAUUAGCUCGCGUUGAUUACGUCCCUGCCCUUUGUACACACCGCCCGUCGCUACUACCGAUUGAAUGGCUUAGUGAGGCCUCUGGAUCCUCGCGAGGGGAGAAGCUGGACAAACUUGGUCAUUUAGAGGAAGUAAAAGUCG